AUUGAACGCUGGCGGCAGGCCUAACACAUGCAAGUCGAGCGGAUGAAGCGAGCUUGCUCCUGGAUUCAGCGGCGGACGGGUGAGUAAUGCCUAGGAAUCUGCCUGGUAGUGGGGGAUAACGUCCUGAAACGGGCGCUAAUACCGCAUACGUCCUGUGGGAGAAAGUGGGGGAUCUUCGGACCUCACGCUAUCAGAUGAGCCUAGGUCGGAUUAGCUAGUUGGUGGGGUAAAGGCCUACCAAGGCGACGAUCCGUAACUGGUCUGAGAGGAUGAUCAGUCACACUGGAACUGAGACACGGUCCAGACUCCUACGGGAGGCAGCAGUGGGGAAUAUUGGACGAUGGGCGAAAGCCUGAUACAGCCAUGCCGCGUGUGUGAAGAAGGUCUUCGGAUUGGAAAGCACUUUAAGUUGGGAGGAAGGGCAGUAAGUUAAUACCUUGCUGUUUUGACGUUACCAACAGAAUAAGCACCGGCUAACUUCGUG
RNAcentral lists this ribosomal RNA (484 nucleotides) under uncultured bacterium. Its description in RNAcentral is "partial 16S ribosomal RNA". It matches the Rfam family "Bacterial small subunit ribosomal RNA", at positions 30 to 507 of the family's 1533-position model. The record is from RNAcentral.